RNAcentral lists this long non-coding RNA (470 nucleotides) under Homo sapiens (human). RNAcentral describes it as "non-protein coding lnc-EVX2-4:2". Lineage: Eukaryota; Metazoa; Chordata; Mammalia; Primates; Hominidae. The record is from RNAcentral.
AAAAAAACCUAUACGAAUUAAAAAUGAAACAGAAAUCACAUAGAUUUCACUUACAGAGUGCCAUUUUGCAACCUCUGGCUGAGAAAUCCUCGUAACAUUUUAUGAACCCAGAUUAAAAGACUGAAGGGAUAUAAGGUUGAUGGAAAAUACGUGGGGGAAAGACGUGGGAAAUUGAAUUCAUGGAACUAUGUUAAAUGAUCACUUUAUCAAACAUGUGCCUAAACCUGAUGGCUAUGCCAUCGUGGCCACUUUUAUUGAUUCAUGGCUUGCAACAGUGUUUCAUAAUAUCUCUAGGCUUGUACAAUCUUCACUGGGAUCGUGUGACUGCAGACCCUGGUUUCACGAGCAACUGUUUGACAUAUCUUCUCCAGACAGCAUUUCGCACUUGCAUAUCAGCUGCAGCCUUUCCAAAAGUUGGGGAAAUCCUGCAAAUAAGGAACAUGGCAUCUGAUUCUUGGAAUAACAUUCUC